CCUACGGGAGGCAGCAGUGAGGAAUAUUGGUCAAUGGACGAGAGUCUGAACCAGCCAAGUAGCGUGAAGGAUGACUGCCCUAUGGGUUGUAAACUUCCUUUAUAUGGGAAUAAAACGUUCCACGUGUGGGAUUUUGUAUGUACCAUAUGAAUAAGGAUCGGCUAACUCCGUGCCAGCAGCCGCGGUAAUACGGAGGAUCCGAGCGUUAUCCGGAUUUAUUGGGUUUAAAGGGAGCGUAGGUGGAUUGUUAAGUCAGUUGUGAAAGUUUGCGGCUCAACCGUAAAAUUGCAGUUGAAACUGGCAGUCUUGAGUACAGUAGAGGUGGGCGGAAUUCGUGGUGUAGCGGUGAAAUGCUUAGAUAUCACGAAGAACUCCGAUUGCGAAGGCAGUUCACUGGACUGCAACUGACACUGAGGCUCGAAAGUGUGGGUAUCAAACAGGAUUAGAUACCCGAGUAGUC
RNAcentral lists this ribosomal RNA (460 nucleotides) under uncultured bacterium. RNAcentral's name for it is "partial 16S ribosomal RNA". It matches the Rfam family "Bacterial small subunit ribosomal RNA", at positions 338 to 795 of the family's 1533-position model. The record is from RNAcentral.